Molecule: transfer RNA, 73 nt
Organism: Nicotiana attenuata
Lineage: Eukaryota; Viridiplantae; Streptophyta; Magnoliopsida; Solanales; Solanaceae
Rfam family: tRNA
About the family: Transfer RNA (tRNA) molecules are approximately 80 nucleotides in length.
Source: Rfam
CCUCAGAUAGCUCAGUGGUAGGAGCGGUCGGCUGUUAAACCUAUUGUCGUAGGUUCGAAUCCUACUUGGGGAG